Molecule: long non-coding RNA, 3565 nt
Organism: Heterocephalus glaber (naked mole-rat)
Lineage: Eukaryota; Metazoa; Chordata; Mammalia; Rodentia; Bathyergidae
Source: RefSeq, a predicted model, not a curated record
CGCUGCGGUCUGAUCCCUGGUGAAGCGGUUCCUGGUGCUGCCACCAAGGCUACCGCUGUUUGCCUGGUGUCCCAGGGUUCCGCAUGAAGCCCACACUGCCCACCCCGACGCGGGAGGAAGCGUUCCGGGAAGAUGGUGUCUCAGUGCCCUUCCGUGCCAGCUGCCUGUCCCGCCUGUCAGCUCGGGCUCGCCCAGGUCACCUCCUGCUCCUCUGUGAGCUCAGGCCGCUACCUCUCCCCCCACCGCAAGGCUGAGCCAUCACGCCCAAUCCGCUGCCCUCUGCACCCAGCAGAAAGCCGAGGGAGGAGGCACCGCACCUGCCUCUGAUAAGUAUCGCAGAAAUGCAAAAUUCAACUUGGCUGUGGGGCAGGGUGGGGCCGACAGGACCGACUGGCUCCCCGCUGGCAGCGUUGGCAGCGGCUGUGCAUAUUUGCAAUGCUUCCUCCAGCCUGCGACAACCGACUGCAAACAGCACAGCGCUGGGUCGCUGGCUGCGGGGAGCUGGUUUGUGCAGAGAAGCAGGGAGCACUGUUUGCAGCAAUGUUGUGAGCGCUGAACCGAGGUGGGGAACCUUCCAGAGCAGCCCAAGCUCUGGCAGGAAGUUCCACGAGCCGCGGAAGGCCACUGAUGAAAAGGGGCGUCUGAGUCACACACGGGCGGGGGGCGGGGUGCUCCCUACUCCGAGGUCUAAGUUCCAGCCCCCACAUGCCCGCUAUCGUUAGUAGCCGUGGUGUCUGCGAGGUGGGAGCUUCUGUCCCUCCAGUCCAGUCGACGCAGGGAAGGAAAUUAGGUCAUGGAGAUUUGGCCUUGAAAAGUGCAAUUUAAGUUUAUGGAGAUAAGAAUGAGCGUUAUAACGUUGCAGUUAAUAAAAAGCUCUUCCUGGGAGCAAAGAGAGCUGGAGCUGGAGAACCGAUCCCCAGCGAUAGGUUAGCAUAUAAUGGUAGGGGAUGAGGGAAGAGCUUAACUGCUCCGGGUACAGAAAUCCAGAAAGCAAACUGGAAUCUGCAGGGAGAGUCGAGGAUAGUUUCAAGUGUGACCAUUAUGCCUCCCCAGCUCUGCCAAGCCAUCCAUCCAUCCACUCAUCCAUCCGCUCAUUCCCCGUGUCACAUGUCUGAUCUUGACCACUGGUCCACAGGGCCCUGGCGGAAGGAGAGGACACAGAGGUAGAAAGACACCCACGGACAAACAGCACGGUCCAGCCCGAGGGGUCACUGCCAGGAGCACCGUGGGCGGCGCCAACCCCAUGGUCUGGCGGCUGAAGAGAAGCUGAGGAUACAGCUAGCUGUUCUCUCGGGACGGGACGUCUGGAGCCAGAGCUGGGGGAAACAGAGCACCGCCCAGGACAAGACUCAAGUGGAAGGGAAAGCAAGAGAUUGAAGAGGCGAAGGGAAGACUCAGGAGUGAGGAGGGCCCUCGCCACAGAGAGCAGUUUGGCCUUUACUGGGUGACUCUCAGAUCGAGUCUGGGCUCUUUUUUCAGUCACUGCUUUGCUUUAUCCCCGGUGCCUACAAAACCCCAGGCACCGAAUGAAGCCAAGAAGUGGCCGGCGAUGCCUUUUUAAAAAUUCAGAUGUGAAGAAGGAGUCAGAGGGCCCUGGGCUCUCCACAGUGGGGUUGGAGAGGCGGCUCUUAACUGGCGAUGGGAAGGUGUGAAGUGUGGGCAGGCGGGAAGGAAGUGGAAGUCACCCAGCACGGCUCCAGAGCCUUCACUCUCACAGGCAAUGAAAGGAAGGCACUCGACGGUCACUUCCUUCCAGAAGCCUCAUUGGAGUCACGUGGCUGGGGCUCCUACAACUCAGCAACUGACGUGGUGCUUCCUGUACACUUUCCUCUUGUUUUAUGAGAUAACACCCAAGAUAAACACGAAGCAGCCAGCUCUCUUUUAUAGCAUUUCUCUGGUGGGCAGAAGCUACCUAAGAUAAAUAUGUUUACAGAUAGAAAUAUGGUUGGGUUGCGGAGGGGGGGGAUAGUCCUUCCACUUGUGUAUUUUUUCCCCUUAGGAUUUAAAAAGAAAAAUCUUUAAUGUUUUUUAUUUUGCUGUAAGCCAGUGGGGAACCAUAAUUACAGAGCUGUUUGUCAAAAAACAAACGAAACACACAUGCGCAAUAGUAGCAGCUAUGCAUUAGUGCCUCUUUAUAAUUAAGAUGAAGGUGAUAUGAAAAAUAUAUUUUAGGCCAGGCAUGGUAGAGCAAGCCUCUAAUCCUAGCACUCAAGAGGCUGAGGCAGGAGGAUUGCCAGUUCAAACCUGGCCUGAGUGACAUAGUGAGAUACUGCCUCAAAAAUCAAAAAGAGAGGGUCGGGGAUUUAGCUCAGUGGUUCCGCCACCUGCUUCACUAGCACAAGGACCUGAGUUCGAUCCCCGGUACCGGGAAAAAAACAAAGAGGAAGGAAGGAAGAGAGGAAAGGAGGGAAAGAAGUAUUUUCUGCAGUAUCAUUGAUUCUGUUAUCCUCCUGCUCAUUCCCCUUUGCUUAUCUGCUUUUUCUGAAGGGCAGGUGUCCUUACGCAUCAGCACUUUCUAGGUGGCUGAGUGCCUCAGCCAGGUUUCUACCUGUGCCACCCUUGACAUUUCAACCACACAAGGGCACAGAAGGGGUCAUAGGGCUCGGGUUUCCUUCCAGAAGAGAUGAGAUCCUACUCUCCAAAGUGGACCCUUUGACCAGUGCUCCCUAAAGCUGAAAUCUUGUGGAGUAGAUGUGCUAGUGUUUUGUCUGCUGGUUUUGUGGUCCUGGGGAUUGAACCCUGGGCCUUGUGUAUGCCAGGCAAGUGCUCUUCCACUGAGCUAUAUCUCCAGCCUUUCUGGUUUUAUUUAUUUCCAGACAUGGUCUUGCAGAGUUGCUCAGGCUGGCCUUGACUUUCAAUUCUCCUGCCUCAGCCUCCUCAGUAGCUGGAAUUACAGGCACACGCUAUCACACCUGGCAUGUGAUAUUUUUGGUUAGAUCUCUGGCUGUUAUUUUUAAGAAAUGAGUGCUUACAGUUCCUCAAAUUAUCACAGUGGAUCAGGGAUCAUGUGCUUCCUGUUUGGACACAAGGGCCCCUCUUACUCCCCACUCUGGCCUUUGAGGUGUUUAUCACGAAUCUGGCCGAAAGUCUCCCGGCGACUUCCCCUGUGGCUCUGGGUGAGCCUGCUCCUGCAUUUGGAAGCUCCCGACAUUAGAGUAAGUGGAGAAGCCAUGCAUAGAAAUCAAGCCCUGGUGGUGCACACCUAUAAUCCCAGCAUUCAGGAGGCUGAGGCAGGAAGAUUGCCAGAAGUUUGAGGGAACCCUGGGCUCCCUAAUGAGUUCAAGAGCAGCUUGGACUACACAUCGAGACUUGGUCUCAAAAACACCAAAAACAGGGCCGGGGAUUUAGCUCAGUGGUUUCACUGCCUGCUGCGCAAGUGCAAGGUCCUGAGUUUGAUCCCCCAUACCAAAAAAAAAAAAAAAAAAAAGCCAAAAACAAACAAACCAGAAAUGGCUUUAAAUCUGGACUUCUGUGCUACCUUCAAAUGGGGCUGUGAAUUCACACACAAAGUUGAGCUUACAGGAGGGAAAGAAGAGAAUAUUCAUCUUGCAAUUUUAAUUUAAAU